Molecule: ribosomal RNA, 998 nt
Filed under: Salmonella enterica subsp. enterica serovar Typhimurium
Lineage: Bacteria; Pseudomonadati; Pseudomonadota; Gammaproteobacteria; Enterobacterales; Enterobacteriaceae
Description: bacterial SSU rRNA
Rfam family: Bacterial small subunit ribosomal RNA
Source: RNAcentral
GAGUAAUGUCUGGGAAACUGCCUGAUGGAGGGGGAUAACUACUGGAAACGGUGGCUAAUACCGCAUAACGUCGCAAGACCAAAGAGGGGGACCUUCGGGCCUCUUGCCAUCAGAUGUGCCCAGAUGGGAUUAGCUUGUUGGUGAGGUAACGGCUCACCAAGGCGACGAUCCCUAGCUGGUCUGAGAGGAUGACCAGCCACACUGGAACUGAGACACGGUCCAGACUCCUACGGGAGGCAGCAGUGGGGAAUAUUGCACAAUGGGCGCAAGCCUGAUGCAGCCAUGCCGCGUGUAUGAAGAAGGCCUUAGGGUUGUAAAGUACUUUCAGCGGGGAGGAAGGUGUUGUGGUUAAUAACCGCAGCAAUUGACGUUACCCGCAGAAGAAGCACCGGCUAACUCCGUGCCAGCAGCCGCGGUAAUACGGAGGGUGCAAGCGUUAAUCGGAAUUACUGGGCGUAAAGCGCACGCAGGCGGUCUGUCAAGUCGGAUGUGAAAUCCCCGGGCUCAACCUGGGAACUGCAUUCGAAACUGGCAGGCUUGAGUCUUGUAGAGGGGGGUAGAAUUCCAGGUGUAGCGGUGAAAUGCGUAGAGAUCUGGAGGAAUACCGGUGGCGAAGGCGGCCCCCUGGACAAAGACUGACGCUCAGGUGCGAAAGCGUGGGGAGCAAACAGGAUUAGAUACCCUGGUAGUCCACGCCGUAAACGAUGUCUACUUGGAGGUUGUGCCCUUGAGGCGUGGCUUCCGGAGCUAACGCGUUAAGUAGACCGCCUGGGGAGUACGGCCGCAAGGUUAAAACUCAAAUGAAUUGACGGGGGCCCGCACAAGCGGUGGAGCAUGUGGUUUAAUUCGAUGCAACGCGAAGAACCUUACCUGGUCUUGACAUCCACAGAACUUUCCAGAGAUGGAUUGGUGCCUUCGGGAACUGUGAGACAGGUGCUGCAUGGCUGUCGUCAGCUCGUGUUGUGAAAUGUUGGGUUAAGUCCCGCAACGAGCGCAAC